AAUCAACGCUGGCGGCGUGCCUAACACAUGCAAGUCGAACGCGAAAGCCCCGCAAGGGGUAAGUAGAGUGGCAAACGGGUGAGUAACACGUGGGUGACCUGCCUUCGAGUGGGGGAUAACGUCCCGAAAGGGACGCUAAUACCGCAUAACAUCCUGCCUUUUAAGAGGUGGACAUCAAAGCUGGGGAUCGCAAGACCUAGCGCUUGAAGAGGGGCCCGCGCCUGAUUAGCUAGUUGGGGGGUAAUGGCUCACCAAGGCAACGAUCAGUAUCCGGCCUGAGAGGGCGGACGGACACACUGGGACUGAGAUACGGGCCCGACUCCUACGGGAGGCAGCAGUAAGGAAUAUUGGUCAAUGGACGCAAGUCUGAACCAGCCAUGCCGCGUGCAGGAUGAAGGCCCUCUGGGUCGUAAACUGCUUUUAUCAGGGAAGAAAUUCACUUUGUUUCUACGAGUGUUGACGGUACCUGAGGAAUAAGCACCGGCUAACUCCGUG
This 495-nucleotide ribosomal RNA is filed under the name uncultured bacterium. Its description in RNAcentral is "bacterial SSU rRNA". It matches the Rfam family "Bacterial small subunit ribosomal RNA", at positions 32 to 507 of the family's 1533-position model. The record is from RNAcentral.